AUGAAAGCAUCAAUGAUCUGAAAGACCAGAACUAGUAAACAUGAGACAAGAUUUCAGAAUAAAAGCACCAGAAGAAAAGCAACUUGAGCUUCUGGAUUUCACAAUAAAAGUACGGCAGAGGAGUUGUACCUGAAGUACCAGGAUGAAGUAAUCUGCCGAUUUGUUUCUCUGGAACAGGAAGUGCUUUGGUGCGUACUUGUUUCUGUCGUCAAACUUGAGAUCCUGGACGACGCUAGGAUGUUUGAUGAGCCUCAGCAGGAUCUUCUCAGAGAUGAAGCGGUGCGUGGCCAGUAGGAGCUGUGGGGAAAUUUUGACUUUCAUCUCGUGGUCGGCCAUUUUGAAGAUGGAGAAGUCUUGCUGCCUCCUGUCGUGGUGAGACACGCGACGCCUGCUGCGGUUGUCGGCUGUCGUCACAGCAACGCACGCAAACAUAAUUAUUAACAGAAUUAAAACUACAAAGUGCAGUUUCUGUAGAAAUUGUGUGUGAAUGCUAAAUAGCUGAUGGUGAACUGAAAUGACGCAGAAUUAAGUGAAAUGUAGCAAAGGUGGAAUGUGAGAAUUGGAUAUUUUUAAGAAAAACAAAUAUGUAUUGAUCAUAAAAAUCCAUUUCGCGCUUAUCACAAUAAUGCUGGCGCUGCUGUCGCGGCCGUACUGUAGAGGUCCGUCUCGUCCAGGAUUUCGGACUUGAUGAUUUCCUCGAUGACGUCCUCCAGCGUGACGAUGCCCAUUACCUCGUAGAACGGGUCGCCCUCGCCCUCGUUGUUCACGCGCUGAACGAUGGCCAGGUGAUGUGUUUGGAUGGAAAACGCAAUCAUGCAAAAUUAAUCCCCCCCCCCAGUUAAAAGGAUCUACAAACCAAAGGAACUCAAUGGAGGUUGAGUGCAUAUGUGUGUGUAUGUGUGUGCCUUCUUUUCCACUAAAACCUCGCCAAAAAGUGUAAAGAGGACUUUUGUGUCAACGAUUCAGUUGAGGUUCCAGUGUGUGUGUCUGUCUCAUACCAACACACACACAAGCACAGCAACAGUGAAUCCUUUCAGUGCAACUCACUUGUCUGGAUUCUGUUCAACUUUCUCAUUAACAAACAAACACACACACACACACACACACAUUCAUCUAAGUGGGUCAGUACAAAGUGUGUGAAUGAUGUGUUCCAUUACAUUAUCACUGGUGGGUGCAGCAUUUCAUCACCAAGCGCCCGAAUUACACUUGUCAAUAUGUGGCGGUUUGGUGUGUGACAUGGCCAAAUACAAAAAAAUACCAUUCCCGAUGUUGACAACUUAGUCGAACAAUAUUGUAAUUUUAUUAUCAGAUGCUAAUGCUACUCUGCACGAACAGUGGAGCUUUGAUCACGUUUUGGCUUUGACACGAUUGAGUCCGCUGCCAAGACAUUGGCGAAGAAACUUGGUGUGUGGGUGGGAUUAGGUAAAUUAGUGAAGUUGUGAUGUCAUAGUGAGUUGGAUAUGGGCUCACUCACAGCCACAUUUUCAAAAAUGGGCCGAUAACGCUGUUUAAUUACACAGAAGACCGGACUAUUUUUAUACAACCGAUAAAAAGUCAAUUUUCCAUAAUAUGACCCUUUUAGAAGAUCGCGCAGACAAAACUGUUCAAAUGCAAAUAUUAGCAGCCAUGUGACUUACCUAUCUUAACUCAGCCUUAGGUUAGCCUAAUUUGUUUUUUAAUUGGAUGAAGCCGAAUGAAAAUUGACCACUCUGUCAUGUCCCAGAGAUUGGAGGAUAUUGGAAUGUCUUCAUAAGCGGUCAAAUGGUUUGGUAACUCCCUCAGUGGUGGUUCAGAGGUCUUACCUCUUCAAAAUGGUCUCCCCCAGGGGUCCCUACUGGAUCCCAUUUUGUUUACUAUUAUUGAUGUAAAAAUGUAACUGAUGCCAAAUCUCACUUAAAUGCGGAUGACACCAUUUUAUAUUGUUUAGAUUCCUCAUUGUGAAGGGCUGUAGAAUAUCUGCAAUCUGCCUGUUAUUGAGAAAAAUGUUCAUCAGUUAUGCCUUGUAUUGAAUUCUGACAAGACUAAAAUGAUGUUUUCCAAAAUCAAGCAAUACCGAUGAUGUUUGUUAGAUUGUUACACUAAACGAGAAAGAGACAAAAUGAGUGUCUUACAAAGACACCGCUGGUGAAACUGGAUUUCUUUUAUAGAAUAAAAUUAUGUUUUUCUUUGGUAAUAAUAAUAAUUCAUCCAUCCAUCCAUUUUCCGAGCCGCUUCUCACUAGGGUCGCGGCCGUGCUGGAGCCUAUCCCAGCUAUCAUCGGGCACGAGACGGGGUACACCCUGAACUGGUUGCCAGCCAAUCGCAGGGCACAUACAAACAAACAACCAUUCGCACUCACAUUCACACCUACGGGCAAUUUAGAGUCCCCAAUUCAUGCAUGUUUUUGGG
Phycodurus eques (leafy seadragon) is the source of this 2388-nucleotide long non-coding RNA. RefSeq lists it as uncharacterized. The transcript has 3 exons. The record is from RefSeq and is a predicted model, not a curated record. NCBI's taxonomy places the organism in Eukaryota, Metazoa, Chordata, Actinopteri, Syngnathiformes, Syngnathidae.